Lonchura striata (white-rumped munia) is the source of this 613-nucleotide non-coding RNA. Lineage: Eukaryota; Metazoa; Chordata; Aves; Passeriformes; Estrildidae. The record is from RefSeq and is a predicted model, not a curated record.
CCCACCUGGAGCAGUGCCCAGCUGCCAGCAACUUGAGACUUCUUGACUUUGUUUUUUAAUGCCUUCAGCACCUCCAGAUGAACCGUUUGAACUGAAAGCAAGAUAGAAGUUGUUCAAGGAUGCCUUUGCAAAAGACUGGUGUGUUGCCAGAGAUACAAGAUCUGGCUUGUUCUAAUGUCUUCUCCCUUGCAGAAAAAUAAAUUUACUUUGCUCUGCAGUGUGUUGGGAAGGUUGAGGUUCAGAACAGACUUUUCCUUCAGGAUUGGAGGAGCCACCACCCCUUGGAGGCUUUGAACAUUUAUCACUUUGGAAGUGCAAAGGAGAUAAAUCUGCCCAUGGUCUGUAAGGGUUUCAGGGCUUUGAUUUUUCUUUUCCCUCCUUUAUGAACAUCUCUCACUGACUUCCAUGCUGGAAGGAAAGUCCCCUUUUCAUGAGGAUGUGCCACAUCCCAUGGGCAGCAAUAGUUACAUCCCACUGACUGUGCAUGAAGAAUAUAAUGCAUUAAAAUAAUCUAGAACAAACUGUAAAAACACUUAAACAACAAGCCCAAAGCAAAAUAAUUAUUUUAAGUCUGCCAACUCUUUGUUUAAAAUAAAGUUGUACUCAUUGUGAG